This 2083-nucleotide ribosomal RNA is filed under the name Enterococcus faecium. Its description in RNAcentral is "partial 23S ribosomal RNA". It matches the Rfam family "Bacterial large subunit ribosomal RNA", at positions 1 to 2094 of the family's 2925-position model. Lineage: Bacteria; Bacillati; Bacillota; Bacilli; Lactobacillales; Enterococcaceae. The record is from RNAcentral.
GGUUAAGUGAAUAAGGGCGCACGGUGGAUGCCUUGGCACUAGGAGCCGAUGAAGGACGGGACUAACACCGAUAUGCUUUGGGGAGUUGUACGUAAGCUAUGAUCCAGAGAUUUCCGAAUGGGGGAACCCAGCAUCUUUAAUAGGAUGUUACGAUUGUGUGAAUACAUAGCACAUUCGAGGUAGACGCAGAGAACUGAAACAUCUAAGUACCUGCAGGAAGAGAAAGAAAAUUCGAUUCCCUGAGUAGCGGCGAGCGAAACGGGAAAAGCCCAAACCAACAAGCUUGCUUGUUGGGGUUGUAGGACUCCAAUAUGGUCGUUCUUUCAGAUAGUCGAAUGACUUGGAAAAGUCAGUCAAAGAGGGUAAAAACCCCGUAGACGAAAUGUGGAAGACACCUAGGAGGAUCCUGAGUACGGCGGAACACGAGAAAUUCCGUCGGAAUCCGGGAGGACCAUCUCCCAAGGCUAAAUACUCCCUAGUGACCGAUAGUGAACCAGUACCGUGAGGGAAAGGUGAAAAGCACCCCGGAAGGGGAGUGAAAUAGAACCUGAAACCGUGUGCCUACAACAAGUCAAAGCCCGUUAAUGGGUGAUGGCGUGCCUUUUGUAGAAUGAACCGGCGAGUUACGAUUGCAUGCGAGGUUAAGUUGAAGAGACGGAGCCGCAGCGAAAGCGAGUCUGAAUAGGGCGUUUGAGUAUGUAGUCGUAGACCCGAAACCAUGUGAUCUACCCAUGUCCAGGUUGAAGGUGCGGUAAAACGCACUGGAGGACCGAACCCACGUACGUUGAAAAGUGCGGGGAUGAGGUGUGGGUAGCGGAGAAAUUCCAAACGAACUUGGAGAUAGCUGGUUCUCUCCGAAAUAGCUUUAGGGCUAGCCUCGGAAUUGAGAAUGAUGGAGGUAGAGCACUGUUUGGACUAGGGGCCCAUCUCGGGUUACCGAAUUCAGAUAAACUCCGAAUGCCAUUCAUUCAUAUCCGGGAGUCAGACUGUGAGUGAUAAGAUCCAUAGUCGAAAGGGAAACAGCCCAGACCACCAGCUAAGGUCCCAAAAUAUAUGUUAAGUGGAAAAGGAUGUGGGGUUGCACAGACAACUAGGAUGUUGGCUUAGAAGCAGCCACCAUUUAAAGAGUGCGUAAUAGCUCACUAGUCGAGUGACCCUGCGCCGAAAAUGUACCGGGGCUAAACAUAUUACCGAAGCUGUGGAGUACACCUUUAGGUGUAUUGGUAGGAGAGCGUUCUAAGGGCGUCGAAGGCAGAUCGUGAGGACUGCUGGAGCGCUUAGAAGUGAGAAUGCCGGUAUGAGUAGCGAAAGACAGGUGAGAAUCCUGUCCACCGAAUGACUAAGGUUUCCUGGGGAAGGCUCGUCCGCCCAGGGUUAGUCGGGACCUAAGCCGAGGCCGAUAGGCGUAGGCGAUGGAUAACAGGUUGAUAUUCCUGUACCCGUUGUUUUUGUUUGAGCAAUGGAGGGACGCAGGAGGCUAAGGAAUGCAGACGAUCGGAAAUGUCUGUCCAAGCAGUAAGUCUGAAGAGGAGUCAAAUGCUUCUUUUCUUAAGGACAAGCUGUGAUGGGGAGGGAAAUAAUAGUACCGAAGUUCCUGAUGUCACACUGCCGAGAAAAGCUUCUAGUGAGAAAACAGCGGCCCGUACCGCAAACCGACACAGGUAGUCGAGGAGAGAAUCCUAAGGUGAGCGAGAGAACUCUCGUUAAGGAACUCGGCAAAAUGACCCCGUAACUUCGGGAGAAGGGGUGCUGAUCAUACGAUCAGCCGCAGUGAAUAGGCCCAAGCGACUGUUUAUCAAAAACACAGGUCUCUGCAAAAUCGUAAGAUGAAGUAUAGGGGCUGACGCCUGCCCGGUGCUGGAAGGUUAAGAGGAGUGCUUAGCGCAAGCGAAGGUACGAAUUGAAGCCCCAGUAAACGGCGGCCGUAACUAUAACGGUCCUAAGGUAGCGAAAUUCCUUGUCGGGUAAGUUCCGACCCGCACGAAAGGCGUAACGAUUUGGGCACUGUCUCAACGAGAGACUCGGUGAAAUUUUAGUACCUGUGAAGAUGCAGGUUACCCGCGACAGGACGGAAAGACCCCAU